Molecule: microRNA, 22 nt
Filed under: Monodelphis domestica (gray short-tailed opossum)
Lineage: Eukaryota; Metazoa; Chordata; Mammalia; Didelphimorphia; Didelphidae
Description: mdo-miR-223-5p
Gene: mdo-miR-223-5p
Source: miRBase by way of RNAcentral
GUGUAUUUGACAAGCUGAGUUG